UCCGACUAGUUCCGGGUUCGAGUCCCGGG
This 29-nucleotide transfer RNA is filed under the name Lolium giganteum. The record is from RNAcentral. RNAcentral also lists the same sequence under 2 other names. Lineage: Eukaryota; Viridiplantae; Streptophyta; Magnoliopsida; Poales; Poaceae.